RNAcentral lists this ribosomal RNA (451 nucleotides) under uncultured bacterium. RNAcentral's name for it is "partial 16S ribosomal RNA". It matches the Rfam family "Bacterial small subunit ribosomal RNA", at positions 354 to 796 of the family's 1533-position model. The record is from RNAcentral.
GUGGGGAAUAUUGGACAAUGGGGGGAACCCUGAUCCAGCCAUGCCGCGUGUGUGAAGAAGGCCUUUUGGUUGUAAAGCACUUUAAGCGAGGAGGAGGCUACCGAGAUUAAUACUCUUGGAUAGUGGACGUUACUCGCAGAAUAAGCACCGGCUAACUCUGUGCCAGCAGCCGCGGUAAUACAGAGGGUGCAAGCGUUAAUCGGAUUUACUGGGCGUAACGCGCGCGUAGGUGGCCAAUUAAGUCAAAUGUGAAAUCCCCGAGCUUAACUUGGGAAUUGCAUGUGAUACUGGUUAGCUAGAGUAUGUGAGAGGAUGGUAGAAUUCCAGGUGUAGCGGUGAAAUGCGUAGAGAUCUGGAGGAAUACCGAUGGCGAAGGCAGCCAUCUGGCCUAAAACUGACACUGAGGUGCGAAAGCAUGGGGAGCAAACAGGAUUAGAAACCCGUGUAGUCC